AGCAGUCGCCACGGUAAUACGUAGGUGGCAAGCGUUGUCCGGAAUUAUUGGGCGUAAAGGGCUCGCAGGCGGUUUCUUAAGUCUGAUGUGAAAGCCCCCGGCUCAACCGGGGAGGGUCAUUGGAAACUGGGAAACUUGAGUGCAGAAGAGGAGAGUGGAAUUCCACGUGUAGCGGUGAAAUGCGUAGAGAUGUGGAGGAACACCAGUGGCGAAGGCGACUCUCUGGCCUGUAACUGACGCUGAGGAGCGAAAGCGUGGGGAGCAAAUGGGAUUAGAUACCCCUGUAGUCCCUGUCUCUUAUAC
Molecule: ribosomal RNA, 303 nt
Filed under: uncultured bacterium
Lineage: Bacteria
Description: partial 16S ribosomal RNA
Rfam family: Bacterial small subunit ribosomal RNA
Source: RNAcentral